This 227-nucleotide ribosomal RNA is filed under the name Agrobacterium cavarae. RNAcentral's name for it is "Agrobacterium sp. RZME10 partial 16S ribosomal RNA". It matches the Rfam family "Bacterial small subunit ribosomal RNA", at positions 514 to 740 of the family's 1533-position model. The record is from RNAcentral. Lineage: Bacteria; Pseudomonadati; Pseudomonadota; Alphaproteobacteria; Hyphomicrobiales; Rhizobiaceae.
GCCGCGGUAAUACGGAAGAUGCAAGUGUUAUCCGGAUUUAUUGGGUUUAAAGGGUGCGUAGGUGGUUCAAUAAGUCAGUGGUGAAAUCUCUUUGCUUAACAAGGAAAUUGCCAUUGAAACUGUCGGACUUGAGAAUGGACGAGGUAAGUGGAAUUCGUAGUGUAGCGGUGAAAUGCAUAGAUAUUACGAGGAACUCCAAUAGUGUAGACUGCUUACCAGACCAUUUC